GACCCGUCUUGAAACACGGACCAAGGAGUCUAACAUGUGUGCGAGUCGCCGGGUCUUGACCAGGCUCGGAGGCGAAAUGAAAGUGAAGGCCGAUCUGGGCGUCGGCUGCGGUGUGAUCCGCUCGGUCGUCCCAAGCCCGCGUCUUUCGCCCUCGGGCGUCUUUCGCGGGGCCGGCGGCGCAACACCGGCCCGUCCCGUCCGCAGCGUCGGUGGGGCGGAGCGAGAGCAUACACGUUGGGACCCGAAAGAUGGUGAACUAUGCUUGGGCAGGACGAAGCCAGAGGAAACUCUGGUGGAGGUCCGCAGCGAUUCUGACGUGCAAAUCGAUCGUCAGACCUGAGUAUAGGGGCGAAAGACUAAUCGAACCAUCUAGUAGCUGGUUCCUUCCGA
Molecule: ribosomal RNA, 390 nt
Filed under: Ricinoididae sp. WW-1999
Lineage: Eukaryota; Metazoa; Arthropoda; Arachnida; Ricinulei; Ricinoididae
Description: eukaryotic LSU rRNA
Rfam family: Eukaryotic large subunit ribosomal RNA
Source: RNAcentral